UACAGAGGGUGCAAGCGUUGUUCGGAAUUAUUGGGCGUAAAGCGCGUGUAGGCGGCUUUGCAAGUCGGGUGUGAAAACUCGAGGCUCAACCUCGAGACGUCGGUUGAAACCGUCUGGCUAGAGUCCGGAAGAGGAGAGUGGAAUUCCCGGUGUAGCGGUGAAAUGCGCAGAUAUCGGGAAGAACACCCGUGGCGAAGGCGGCUCUCUGGGACGGUACUGACGCUGAGACGCGAAAGCGUGGGGAGCGAACAGG
This 253-nucleotide ribosomal RNA is filed under the name uncultured bacterium. RNAcentral's name for it is "partial 16S ribosomal RNA". It matches the Rfam family "Bacterial small subunit ribosomal RNA", at positions 524 to 776 of the family's 1533-position model. The record is from RNAcentral.